RNAcentral lists this ribosomal RNA (497 nucleotides) under uncultured bacterium. RNAcentral describes it as "partial 16S ribosomal RNA". It matches the Rfam family "Bacterial small subunit ribosomal RNA", at positions 28 to 507 of the family's 1533-position model. The record is from RNAcentral.
GAUGAACGCUGGCGGCGUGCCUAAUACAUGCAAGUCGAGCGAACGGACGAUAAGCUUGCUUCUCUGAUGUUAGCGGCUGACGGGUGAGUAACACGUGGAUAACCUACCUAUAAGACUGGGAUAACUUCGGGAAACCGGAGCUAAUACCGGAUGAUAUUUUGAACCGCAUGGUUCAAAAGUGAAAGACGGUCUUGCUGUCACUUAUAGAUGGAUCCGCGGUGCAUUAGCUAGUUGGUAAGGUAACGGCUUACCAAGGCAACGAUGCAUAGCCGACCUGAGAGGAUGAGCGGCGACACUGGAACUGAGACACGGUCCAGACUCCGACGGGAGGCAGCAGUGGGGAAUAUUGGACAAUGGGCGCAAGCCUGAACCAGCCAUACCGCGUGGGUGAAGAAGGCCUUCGGGUUGUAAAGCCCUUUUGUUGGGAAAGAAAAGCAGCAGGUUAAUACCCCGCUGUUCUGACGGUACCCAAAGAAUAAGCACCGGCUAACUUCAUG